RNAcentral lists this ribosomal RNA (1118 nucleotides) under 'Sesamum indicum' phyllody phytoplasma. RNAcentral's name for it is "bacterial SSU rRNA". It matches the Rfam family "Bacterial small subunit ribosomal RNA", at positions 211 to 1337 of the family's 1533-position model. Lineage: Bacteria; Bacillati; Mycoplasmatota; Mollicutes; Acholeplasmatales; Acholeplasmataceae. The record is from RNAcentral.
AGGUAUGCUUUAGGAGGGGCUUGCGCCAUAUUAGUUAGUUGGUAGGGUAAUGGCCUACCAAGACGAUGAUGUGUAGCUGGACUGAGAGGUUGAACAGCCACAUUGGGACUGAGACACGGCCCAAACUCCUACGGGAGGCAGCAGUAGGGAAUUUUCGGCAAUGGAGGAAACUCUGACCGAGCAACGCCGCGUGAAUGACGAAGUACUUCGGUAUGUAAAGUUCUUUUAUCAAGGAAGAAAAGCAAAUGGCGAACCAUUUGUUUGCCGGUACUUGAUGAAUAAGCCCCGGCUAAUUAUGUGCCAGCAGCCGCGGUAAGACAUAAGGGGCAAGUGUUAUCCGGAAUUAUUGGGCGUAAAGGGUGCGUAGGCGGUCUAGUAAGUCAGUGGUGUAAUGGCAACGCUUAACGUUGUCCGGCUAUUGAAACUGCUAAACUUGAGUUAGAUAGAGGCGAGUGGAAUUCCAUGUGUAGCGGUAAAAUGCGUAAAUAUAUGGAGGAACACCAGAGGCGUAGGCGGCUCGCUGGGUCUUAACUGACGCUGAGGCACGAAAGCGUGGGGAGCAAACAGGAUUAGAUACCCUGGUAGUCCACGCCGUAAACGAUGAGUACUAAGUGUCGGGUUAAACCGGUACUGAAGUUAACACAUUAAGUACUCCGCCUGAGUAGUACGUACGCAAGUAUGAAACUUAAAGGAAUUGACGGGACUCCGCACAAGCGGUGGAUCAUGUUGUUUAAUUCGAAGAUACCCGAAAAACCUUACCAGGUCUUGACAUGUUUUUGCAAAAUGAUAGUAAUAUCGUGGAGGUUACCAGAAACACAGGUGGUGCAUGGUUGUCGUCAGCUCGUGUCGUGAGAUGUUAGGUUAAGUCCUAAAACGAGCGAAACCCUUAUCGUUAGUUGCCAGCACGUUAUGGUGGGGACUUUAACGAGACUGCCAAUGAUAAAUUGGAGGAAGGUGAGGAUCACGUCAAAUCAGCAUGCCCCUUAUGACCUGGGCUACAAACGUGAUACAAUGGCUGUUACAAAGGGUAGCUGAAACGCAAGUUCUUGGCCAAUCCCCAAAAACAGUCCCAGUCCGGAUUGAAGUCUGCAACUCGACUUCAUGAAGUGGAAUCGCUA